This 253-nucleotide ribosomal RNA is filed under the name uncultured bacterium. RNAcentral describes it as "partial 16S ribosomal RNA". It matches the Rfam family "Bacterial small subunit ribosomal RNA", at positions 524 to 776 of the family's 1533-position model. The record is from RNAcentral.
UACAGAGGUCCCAAGCGUUGUUCGGAUUCACUGGGCGUAAAGGGCGCGUAGGCGGCAGGCCAAGCGUGCGGUGAAAGUCCGGGGCUCAACCCCGGAUCUGCCGUGCGGACUGGUUUGCUAGAGCACUGUAGAGGCGAGUGGAAUUCCGGGUGUAGCGGUGGAAUGCGUAGAGAUCCGGAAGAACACCGGUGGCGAAGGCGGCUCGCUGGGCAGUGGCUGACGCUGAGGCGCGACAGCGUGGGGAGCAAACAGG